GAGAGUCUAUGUUUAUUAAAUUGUAGAAAGUCCUUGUUUUUUUUUUUAAACUUUUUAUGUAAAAGCUAAUUUUUUUAAAGACGAACACACAUCCUUAUUUAAAUUUAUGGUUUUCUUAAAUAAUGAGUUAACAGUUUAACCUUAACCCAAUUGGACUAUUGGGUUAAAUCAUUCUCGCAUUCGCACAUAUUUCAGUAUUUUAUAUUUUUGAAGGUCUUUGAUGUGAUGAGAAAGAAGGAGCAAAUGUUGCUAGCGGAAUUAGCAGCGGAGAAGACUAAUUUUGGGGCCAUUGAAGCUUAUGGCGAUAUAUUGAGUGUUUAGUUUGAUAAAUUUAGUCAAUCAUUCAUAAAUGUUGUUAAUUUUUAGUACAACAUUCUCUCCUCUCUCUCUCUCUCUCUCUCACGCACACACACAGAGUUCAUAAUCUUGUGGUAGGAAGAUUAUCCAAAUAGGUAGUCUGUUUCCUUAAAAAUUGGUUCGCUGAUAUUUUAUUUUUGUUUAAAUGUUGUUUAAAUGGUUAAUAAAUAUUGAGUUUUGACUCACUUUAGGCCUUUGUUUAUUUAUUUACUUUUUUUGGAGAGAAAAAAGAAAAGAAAAUUUAAGUGGUGGUUGGUAUAUCUAUGUCCUUGCAGAAAGAAAUUUUUUUCAAAUAUAUAGAGAGAGUUUAUCUUGUGGGAAUCAUUUUUUAUUUUUUGAAGAUCGCUGGAUUACUUAGAUAUAUGCUUAUGGCCUAUUUGUAUUAGUGCUUUAAUGGUAGAAUUGACUACACACAUUAUGUUUGGGUGAUAGAAAUAUUUUUUUGAUCAAGAGAAUAAAUGCUUGAAGUGUGAAUUUUUUUAUAUGACUCGACUAGAACUUUAUGUAUUAAUUGUCACCCAUCAUGUGUGCUUGCAUCUGCAGAAGAAGCUGCAAAAAUGGGUAAAAGACCAUAGGAAUCUGUAUCAACAAGCACAAGCUAAAAUGCAAAUGCUAAGGUAUGGAGACAAGUCAGCUCGAAAACGAAUGUAGGUUUGAACAUUCAAUCUUCUUGUACCUCAUUCUGAAAUCAAGUGUCAAGCAUGUGUGACGUGAAUUUGGGAAGCUUAAUUUUAGUUGAGUGGAAGCAUGAGUGUUUUACUUUAUUAACUUGUAUAACCCAUAGGACUAUAUCCCUGUUGCUAUUGAUGUUAUCCCUAAUGUUUAUUGAGAAAAGCAUGAUUAAGUUGAAC
This 1208-nucleotide long non-coding RNA is filed under the name Olea europaea (common olive). RNAcentral describes it as "long non-coding RNA (OEUR_LNC003478)". The record is from RNAcentral. Lineage: Eukaryota; Viridiplantae; Streptophyta; Magnoliopsida; Lamiales; Oleaceae.